AUUGAACGCUGGCGGCAGGCCUAACGCAUGCAAGUCGAGCGGAUGAAGGGAGCUUGCUCCUGGAUUCAGCGGCGGACGGGUGAGUAAUGCCUAGGAAUCUGCCUGGUAGUGGGGGAUAACGCCCGGAAACGGGCGCUAAUACCGCAUACGUCCUGAGGGAGAAAGUGGGGGAUCUUCGGACCUCACGCUAUCAGAUGAGCCUAGGUCGGAUUAGCUAGUUGGUGGGGUAAAGGCCUACCAAGGCGACGAUCCGUAACUGGUCUGAGAGGAUGAUCAGUCACACUGGAACUGAGACACGGUCCAGACUCCUACGGGAGGCAGCAGUGGGGAAUAUUGGACAAUGGGCGAAAGCCUGAUCCAGCCAUGCCGCGUGUGUGAAGAAGGUCUUCGGAUUGUAAAGCACUUUAAGUUGGGAGGAAGGGCAGUAAGUUAAUACCUUGCUGUUUUGACGUUACCAACAGAAUAAGCACCGGCUAACUUCGUG
RNAcentral lists this ribosomal RNA (484 nucleotides) under uncultured bacterium. Its description in RNAcentral is "partial 16S ribosomal RNA". It matches the Rfam family "Bacterial small subunit ribosomal RNA", at positions 30 to 507 of the family's 1533-position model. The record is from RNAcentral.